AUUGAACGCUGGCGGCAUGCUUUACACAUGCAAGUCGAGCGGCAGCGCGGGGGCAACCCUGGCGGCGAGCGGCGAACGGGUGAGUAAUGCAUCGGAACGUGUCCCGUAGUGGGGGAUAACCCGGCGAAAGCCGGGCUAAUACCGCAUAUGCUCUACGGAGGAAAGCGAGGGACCGCAAGGCCUCGCGCUAUGGGAGCGGCCGAUGUCCGAUUAGCUAGUUGGUGGGGUAAUGGCUUACCAAGGCGACGAUCGGUAGCUGGUCUGAGAGGAUGAUCAGCCACACUGGGACUGAGACACGGCCCAGACUCCUACGGGAGGCAGCAGUGGGGAAUUUUGGACAAUGGGGGCAACCCUGAUCCAGCCAUGCCGCGUGCGGGAAGAAGGCCUUCGGGUUGUAAACCGCUUUUAGCCGGGAAGAAAAGGCCAGGCCUAAUACGUCUGGUUCUUGACGGUACCGGCGGAAUAAGCACCGGCUAACUACGUG
RNAcentral lists this ribosomal RNA (484 nucleotides) under uncultured bacterium. RNAcentral describes it as "bacterial SSU rRNA". It matches the Rfam family "Bacterial small subunit ribosomal RNA", at positions 28 to 507 of the family's 1533-position model. The record is from RNAcentral.